This 255-nucleotide ribosomal RNA is filed under the name uncultured bacterium. RNAcentral's name for it is "partial 16S ribosomal RNA". It matches the Rfam family "Bacterial small subunit ribosomal RNA", at positions 524 to 776 of the family's 1533-position model. The record is from RNAcentral.
UACGUAGGGCGCAAGCGUUUAUCCGGAAUUAUUGGGCGUAAAAGAGCUCGUAGGCGGUUUUGUCGCGUCUGCCGUGAAAGUCCGGGGCUCAACUCCGGAUCUGCGGUGGGUACGGGCAGACUAGAGUGAUGUAGGGGAGACUGGAAUUCCUGGUGUAGCGGUGAAAUGCGCAGAUAUCAGGAGGAACACCUGUGGUGUAGACAGCUUACUGGACCACUUCUGACGCUGAGACACAAAGCGUGGGUAGCAAACAGG